CUCUGCUCCAGGGCUUUUCUUAUAAAGCCUUAACUUAUUAAACAUUCAAAGGAAAAGUCUAUAAAACUUUACUGGUGUUCAUACAUCUCUUCUGACACUGUAGAUGUUUCCUACUUUAGAUGAGCAACAGUCAUUUCACUCUUUAGCUGGGGUAACCAAACAAUGUUUUGAGCUAUAAUUUGUCCUAGGUUUUAACUAAAGGUGUACACAGUCAGUAGACCCUGCAAUUAGUAAUUGGAAUACUGUGAAUGGCAUUUAAACAAAAUCAUAAGAUCUUAAGGCUUCAAGUGUUCUUUAUACAAUGUAACUCUGGUUAUUACUUAACUCCUAUAUAUUUAAGCAUACCUGUGCUAUUUCUUCAGUUUUGCUCAGAGGGGAAGCUCCAGGCUUUGCAGCAUGACAGGAGCACAUGUGUGUCACCUGUGCCUUUGUGGUGUGAGGAGUGUGGCAGCCACCCAUUUCAGUGCCCUGUCAGAAAAGGAAAGAUAGAUUUUUCACAGCGUGAAGCAUUCCAGAUCAUAACAGCUGCCUUGUGACACACUGAGUACCAUGAAACAUGGGCUUUAAUGACAGCACUGUCUGAAAGGUUUCCUGCAUCCCAGCUGCCCCAUACCUUGGAGGACAGGCUUGGCCAGCAGUCACCCUUCAGGAUUUUUAAGGCAUGUACUGGCCUGGUAGACAAGACGAGAGCAUUGGAUAGUGUCUGCAUGGACUUCAGCAAGACUUUCAGUGCUGUCUCCCGUAAGAUCCUCAUAGAAAAGCUUUUCAAGU
This is a long non-coding RNA of Pezoporus flaviventris, 771 nucleotides long. RefSeq lists it as uncharacterized. Lineage: Eukaryota; Metazoa; Chordata; Aves; Psittaciformes; Psittacidae. The transcript is spliced from 3 exons. The record is from RefSeq and is a predicted model, not a curated record.